This is a long non-coding RNA of Hypomesus transpacificus, 1157 nucleotides long. RefSeq lists it as uncharacterized. The transcript is spliced from 4 exons. The record is from RefSeq and is a predicted model, not a curated record. Lineage: Eukaryota; Metazoa; Chordata; Actinopteri; Osmeriformes; Osmeridae.
UGUGGUUAGUAAAUGCUUGCAUUGGUAAAACCACAUUUGACCUUUUUGAAAAAUGCAGGAGACGUGUGUAACAAACAGAUACCUACGUCAUAUAUGGCCCAAAGUCUAGACAGGGCCAUCCGUAUUGAAAGAUAUAAGAAUUAAAAGUUGUGAGUCAGUUACAGUUGUCACAGUUCUCUCAGCACUCUGAACACUCUCUCUCUGCCUGUCGGAAGUCAAGUCGAGUUUUUACCUGAGCUUGUUUUGGCCUGUUUUUAAACUGACCACCUUUUAAUUUCUGUUUUACUAGUGGCCUCUAGGGUCCGCGUUUCUUAUUUUCUCCUGUACGCCCUUGUUCAAAGAGGUUAGCUUCCUUUUUUAUUAGAUUUUUUACCCUUUGAUUUUUGUUCCUAUAGUUUUCUGCCAAUAAAAAAUUUGACAAAGACAGUCGUUGCCCCACCGCCCAUUUGUGCGCCCCUCGCUCGAGACCAAGGCAUCCACUCAGCGCCUCACGCCUAGACAUCAGCGGCUCAGCUGCACAUCCUGACCCUGCUGGAACACAUCAAGCUGCAGCAAAUGCAACUUGCUGCUGCUGUCAACAGUCUUGCUGCAAGAGUGGGUACAGAAACUCCAGUGGCUGAGAUGCCGGAUAAUAUGAGUUUCCCACUGGCCACCAUGUCUGAAGUGAAGGAGUUGGAGGAGUGGCUGAAAGACUCAAGGAAUUCUCAUGCUAAGCAAAACAUGAUUUCUGCGCUUGGUGCUGUAGGAGGACAGAACACCAAGAGAAUAUCCUGGUAUGUUCUAUCAAAGAUUUUCUCUGACACAGUGACCAAAAGUACUAAUUGGAAAGGAGUAAAUGGCAAAAAAUGAUUCAAAGAAAUUCUCACGAGAACUCUGUUAAUCAAAGCUCUAAGGAAGAAUCAUCAGAGUGCACCGGACAGUGAGAUUGACUCUUGCGCCAUAAGAUGGUUCAACCUGGCAUCUGACAGGGGAGGCGGCCGCAAAGACAGGGCGAUGGCCAAGGAGACCUCUUAAAGUUUGUGUCUUCUGUCUAACUCAUUGUUCAUUCCUGUUUUAUGUGUGCAUUUAGUAUUGUUAAAGUGAAUCAUUAAACUAGGACAUGGUUUUCUUCCUCUUAUGCAUUUGAUUUGAUUUAAUUAAAGAUUUGUAUUUGUUAU